Molecule: long non-coding RNA, 2245 nt
Organism: Homo sapiens (human)
Lineage: Eukaryota; Metazoa; Chordata; Mammalia; Primates; Hominidae
Source: Ensembl
ACUCAACAAAUGUGGAGCCCUACUGCGACCCGCCCGAUCCCGGACGCCGAGACACCCGCACUGCGCCAGAAAAUCAUGGUCCCAGUCCCAGGAGCGGACAUUCCAGAAACAGACCAUAAAUAAACACAGAAGACACACGAGUGUAAAGUCAGUGCCCCGCUGCGAAUUAAAUCGGGGUGAUGUGAUGGCGAGUGAGUGGGUAGUUAAUUCGGAUGGCUUGGUUAGACGAGGCCUCGCUGAGCAGGUGCCACUGAAGCCGAAGUCUGAAGGCAGAGCAGGAACCUGCGGGCGAAGGUCGCUAUCUGAACCGCGAAUCGCUGGUUUCCCUGGGGAGGUUGGCCGCGGAGGGAUCACUGCUCGAAGGACCGAGGGAGCGGGCGCUGUAGGUGUUUUCGGCAGAGAUGCCCGCCCGCAUCAGAGUGCCUCAGGAGGGCGGUGAGGAGGAGACGGAAGAGAGGGCGGGGACCUCGCAGGGCCGAGGGCGCCCUGGGGUCCAGUCCCGGGGCUGGCGGCUGCCUUGCGGCCUCUAGGUGCGGGCGGAUAACAAAACCCGGCGCCGGAUCGCCCGGCCCGGGUCGCGGGCGCCGCAGGAUGUGGGCAGAAGGCCCGCCUGUUCCGAGCCUUAAAUCAACACCUGCGGUUCCCGGGGGUGCUACCACUGGGGCCCGCAGCAAGGCUCCGCGGCGCUAGGCCCGAGAAACCGAAACUCCCCUAGUCGCCCCUGCCCCCCAGCACUCGCGCCAUUGCCUCCAGCCCCGAGCCACCAUUGUUUCCAGUGCCAAAUCGGGCAGCCCCGCUAGCCUCCGAGGCCGAACCGCCAGGGGCCCCAUAAGCCCCGAGGAGGCUCGUCGGGAACCGCUUCCUUAUCCUCUCGGUAUGCGCAUCGCCACCACCCUCGCUGCAGAGGCCGCCGCCCUCCCAGCGCGCCAUCACCGCCUCCUCUGCCUCUUCCCCUCCCUCAGCCCCGGCCCCUGCAUUGACUUGGCUCGGGCUGCGCCUCACUGCGCCUGCCAACUGUCACACGCUCUGAGGCUUUCAACAGCGGGGCGCCAGGGACAAACAAGCCGCGGCAAGCGCAAACAGCCUGCUCAAACAGGGACGGCCAGGGUGUUGUUUGACCAGCACUGGAAUUGGAAACUAGGUUUCGAAGAAGUCAAAUCGAAGUACAAUAUUGUAUUUUAAACUGCCUGUUGUUAUUACAUCCCUCACAACGCACGCUCUACUUGAAACUUCCAGUGGAUACCAACUGCACUUAGAAUAAAAAAUGAAACUCCUUGCCUAACUCUGGGACCUCAUCAGCACAUACUCACCAUAUUUUGGUAACAAAGGCCUUCAUGCUGUUCCCGGAAGUCGCCAAGUUCCAUCCAUCAUUGUUAAUAAUUCCUUUUGCUCGCUCCUCGCACAAGAACUGUUUCUUCUGCUUAGUGCUUUGCCUACUGAUUCCAUCUUGUCAUUUAAGUCUCGGCUCAAAUGUCACCUCUGCAAAGAACCCUUGUCUGACCAUACAUCUAAAAUAGCCACAAACACUCUAUAAAGACUUGGCCUUGCUUUAUUUCCUUCUCAGCACUCAUCACUGUCUGAAACAAUGUUUUGGAUUUGUUGCUUAUUAUCAGUCUCCCUUCUCAAGAAUGCAAGCUUUGUGAGGGCAGAGUCGUAAUCUUUUUUAAGGCUGUAUCCCCAAUGCCUGGAUUAUCAACUUCAGGCAAUGGACCACGCACCAGGAUUCCACCUCUUUCUAGCACCUAUCAGUGUUGCGCACAUCAUAGGCCCUCAACAAACAGGCAGCCACGCUGGGGGAUCCCACAUGGUAAAGAACUGCAGGUGGCCUCUAGGAGAUGAGGGCGGCCUCCAGUCAACAGCCAGCAAGAAACUGAAGUGCUCUGUCCUACAACCUUGUGUAACUGAAUUCUGCCAACAACCUGAGUGAGACUGAAAGUGGAUCCCUCUCCAGUCAUGCCUCAGUGUGAGAGAAACCUGUGACUUGCUUCUAACCCAUAGGAUAUGGCAAGGAACUAGUCAUAUCUGAGAGCAGCCUCCAGAAAACAGUCAGCAAAACACUGAGGUUCUCAAUCCGAUAGUCAAUGAGGAACGGAAUGCUGGAACAAUGAUGUGAGCUUGGAAGCAGAUCCUUCCCUUCUGCUGGGCCUCAGGUGAGACUGCAGCUCCAGUCAUCAUCUUGAUUGCAGCCCACAGAAACUACCAACCCACAGAAACUGUGAGUUAAUAAAUGUGUUGUUUUAAGUUG